RNAcentral lists this long non-coding RNA (254 nucleotides) under Mytilus galloprovincialis (Mediterranean mussel). The record is from RNAcentral. Lineage: Eukaryota; Metazoa; Mollusca; Bivalvia; Mytilida; Mytilidae.
AACAAGUCAAGCAAAGACUUUUGCAAGAAAUCUGAGGAAAUAUGAGUGGAACUUUGAGACUGAAUCUUGUGGAAAUAAUAUUGUUAUAUUUCUUUCUCGAUACGAUAGGCAGGUAAUUAAAAAAUGUUCAUCCUUGUUUUUAUCGAGUCACCAAUUUGAUAUAAACAUACGUAAAAGGAGGAUUUUUAUCAUAGUUAACUGGAUGAUGUAUAUAUCUAUCAUCUAUAAAAAGAAACAGAAUUGUUACGAAUGUC